GACAAUAUAAAAGACAAGGAUUCAAGACCAAAAAAUAGAAUAAGCUUGACGUUAGAAGAAUAACUAGAUACAAGAUAAGGUCUUAAUUAAACCACAAGAAGUGAGUUGUUAAAAUUGAGGAUCUCUUCAGCCUUGACUCUUAUAUAUACUAGGUCCUAAGAAGCUUGUAAACCUAAAAUCCACCACUCUAUGGAUUUAGUACUACACAACGAGCUCAAGAGGUAGAACGAAAGAACUUCCAAUUGUGAAAUUAUUAGGUUAAUUAAAAUGUGGGUGUUUGUAAUUCAAUUAAAAUUAACGCCUUCUAAGCAAUGAUUACUGAUAUUAAAUUAAAAUAUCAGAUGAAAUUCACCAUACAAAAAAAAGAUAAAAGUAAUUAAUUAAGUUUUUCUUAUUAAUUCAUAAUAAGAAUAAAAUCUUAAGUUUAAAUUAAAAGUUAAAAGUUAAUAUUAAAAUUUAAGUUAAAAGUUAAAGUUAAAAGUUAAAGUUAAAAGUUAAAAAUUAAAGUUAAAUAUUAAAUUCAAAAGUUAAAGUUCAAAGUUUAAAAAUUUAAGUGAGAAUAUUAAAGGUUAAAAGUUAAAAGUUAAAAUUCAUUAGUCAAAAGUUGAAAUGUGGAGAUAAUGAGUUACUGUGAAGAUAAAAGUAAAAAUAAAAUAAGAGGGGUAAAAGCGAAGGUACCUUGACAACUCCAAGGAUUGAAUGCAGCGACCCCCUUCUACUCCAAAAUUUGCCAAAAAUUUUAAAUAGCUCCAAAUUGAAUGUUUCACAAGUUUUUGCAAGGUUAACUUAAAGGCGCUCCUGUUCCAACAAAUCUCAUUGCAAUCUAGUCAUCUAAUCGUGAGAAUUGCUCCUUUGAACUUGAGUGAUCCAAACUGCCGCGGCGACCAACCCCCUUCACUUAGAAAUUCACUAAAAAUUCAAAUUGUCUUCAAAUCCAGCGAGACUUGUGUCCUUCAAAACUCAGCUUACAAAUCUUGAUUCUUUCAAAAUUUCAAACGAAUCCAGUUAUCAGGCACUGAGAAAUGCCUUCCCAAACUCGAUUAAUCCAAACUGCAAAGGCAGUCGACCCCCUCACACUCAAAAUUUCACCAAAAAUUCAGUUCAACUCCAAAUGGAGCGAGCCUUACCUUGUUGGAAAUUUAACAACAAAAGCUACAACCACAAAAAAAAUCACCUUGGAACUAAAACAAUUGAAUGACUGAUGGAGGGAAAUCUGAGGCUCUUGAAACCCUUGGAGUAAUUGGGAGGCCAAGAGAGCUAUUCACCACAAUGAAACGUGUUUUAAGACCCAAUGACUAUCAUUCA
RNAcentral lists this long non-coding RNA (1305 nucleotides) under Physcomitrium patens. RNAcentral's name for it is "long non-coding RNA (PPAT_LNC010484)". Lineage: Eukaryota; Viridiplantae; Streptophyta; Bryopsida; Funariales; Funariaceae. The record is from RNAcentral.